This is a non-coding RNA of Triticum aestivum (bread wheat), 133 nucleotides long. Lineage: Eukaryota; Viridiplantae; Streptophyta; Magnoliopsida; Poales; Poaceae. The record is from Rfam.
UCAAUACUCCCUUCGUCCGAAAAUACUUGUCAUUAAAAUAGAUAAAAAAAUGUAUCUAAAACUAAAAUACAUCUAAAUAUAUCCCCUUUUAUACAUUUUGAUGAUGAGUAUUUUCGGACGGAGGGAGUACAUC